This 465-nucleotide ribosomal RNA is filed under the name uncultured Klebsiella sp. RNAcentral describes it as "bacterial SSU rRNA". It matches the Rfam family "Bacterial small subunit ribosomal RNA", at positions 338 to 795 of the family's 1533-position model. The record is from RNAcentral. Lineage: Bacteria; Pseudomonadati; Pseudomonadota; Gammaproteobacteria; Enterobacterales; Enterobacteriaceae.
CCUACGGGUGGCAGCAGUGGGGAAUAUUGCACAAUGGGCGCAAGCCUGAUGCAGCCAUGCCGCGUGUGUGAAGAAGACCUUCGGGUUGUAAAGCACUUUCAGCGGGGAGGAAGGCGGUGAGGUUAAUAACCUCAUCGAUUGACGUUACCCGCAGAAGAAGCACCGGCUAACUCCGUGCCAGCAGCCGCGGUAAUACGGAGGGUGCAAGCGUUAAUCGGAAUUACUGGGCGUAAAGCGCACGCAGGCGGUCUGUCAAGUCGGAUGUGAAAUCCCCGGGCUCAACCUGGGAACUGCAUUCGAAACUGGCAGGCUAGAGUCUUGUAGAGGGGGGUAGAAUUCCAGGUGUAGCGGUGAAAUGCGUAGAGAUCUGGAGGAAUACCGGUGGCGAAGGCGGCCCCCUGGACAAAGACUGACGCUCAGGUGCGAAAGCGUGGGGAGCAAACAGGAUUAGAUACCCGGGUAGUC